AAAUUGAAGAGUUUGAUCAUGGCUCAGAUUGAACGCUGGCGGCAGGCCUAACACAUGCAAGUCGAACGGUAACAGGAAGCGCUUGCUGCUUCGCUGACGAGUGGCGGACGGGUGAGUAAUGUCUGGGAAACUGCCUGAUGGAGGGGGAUAACUACUGGAAACGGUAGCUAAUACCGCAUAACGUCGCAAGACCAAAGAGGGGGACCUUCGGGCCUCUUGCCAUCGGAUGUGCCCAGAUGGGAUUAGCUUGUUGGUGGGGUAACGGCUCACCAAGGCGACGAUCCCUAGCUGGUCUGAGAGGAUGACCAGCCACACUGGAACUGAGACACGGUCCAGACUCCUACGGGAGGCAGCAGUGGGGAAUAUUGCACAAUGGGCGCAAGCCUGAUGCAGCCAUGCCGCGUGUAUGAAGAAGGCCUUCGGGUUGUAAAGUACUU
Molecule: ribosomal RNA, 437 nt
Filed under: Escherichia coli
Lineage: Bacteria; Pseudomonadati; Pseudomonadota; Gammaproteobacteria; Enterobacterales; Enterobacteriaceae
Also listed under: 1 other name
Description: bacterial SSU rRNA
Rfam family: Bacterial small subunit ribosomal RNA
Source: RNAcentral